Molecule: ribosomal RNA, 468 nt
Filed under: uncultured bacterium
Lineage: Bacteria
Description: partial 16S ribosomal RNA
Rfam family: Bacterial small subunit ribosomal RNA
Source: RNAcentral
GAUGAACGCUGGCGGCGUGCUUAACACAUGCAAGUCGAACGGAGAGGCCCAAGCUUGCUUGGGUACUCGAGUGGCGAACGGGUGAGUAACACGUGGGUGAUCUGCCCUGCACUUCGGGAUAAGCCUGGGAAACUGGGUCUAAUACCGGAUAGGACGAUGGUUUGGAUGCCAUUGUGGAAAGUUUUUUCGGUGUGGGAUGAGCUCGCGGCCUAUCAGCUUGUUGGUGGGGUAAUGGCCUACCAAGGCGUCGACGGGUAGCCGGCCUGAGAGGGUGUACGGCCACAUUGGGACUGAGAUACGGGCCAGACUCCUACGGGAGGCAGCAGUGGGGAAUAUUGCACAAUGGGCGCAAGCCUGAUGCAGCGAGGCCGCGUGGUGGAUGACGGCCUUCGGGUUGUAAACUCCUUUGGCUAGGGACGAAGCGUUUUUGUGACGGUACCUGGAGAAGAAGCACCGGCUAACUACGUG